This 35-nucleotide non-coding RNA is filed under the name Streptococcus pyogenes. Lineage: Bacteria; Bacillati; Bacillota; Bacilli; Lactobacillales; Streptococcaceae. The record is from RNAcentral.
GGGUAUUUAAUCAUGGAGGCGUUCGCAUGGACGUC